CAGAUUGCAAAGAGCGCGUGGCUGACAUAUUUAUGUGAUGUCCUUCGGGACUAUGGACAUAAACGCGCUCGUAAUAAGCGGAUCGGACCCGGGGGCGGUACCCGGCGGCUCCACCAAAUAUCCUGUCGUUUGCGGGAUCAUGGGGCCGAAACAGGAUCGACGGACGUCUAAAGGGGUUUGCUUUGUCUCGGCUGUCUGCCACCGUUACCGGCGAAAACAGUACAAUUGCAAACGACAAUCGUGCUCCGGUUGCAAUGGCUGCGUAAGCAGCCCUUGUCGAACCGACUUUAAGCCCUUGCGCCUAGCCGCGUAAGGCGGGGUUCGCAGGCACCUGGCAACAGAAGCCUGCACU
This 352-nucleotide transfer-messenger RNA is filed under the name Tateyamaria sp. ANG-S1. Its description in RNAcentral is "Alphaproteobacteria transfer-messenger RNA". It matches the Rfam family "Alphaproteobacteria transfer-messenger RNA". From Rfam's summary of the family: Bacterial tmRNA, also known as 10Sa RNA or SsrA, is named for its dual tRNA and mRNA-like properties. Its role is to liberate the mRNA from a stalled ribosome. The record is from Rfam by way of RNAcentral. Lineage: Bacteria; Pseudomonadati; Pseudomonadota; Alphaproteobacteria; Rhodobacterales; Roseobacteraceae.